UGGCGAAGGCGGCUCUGGACGAGACUGACGCUCAGGUGCGAAAGCGUGGGGAGCAAACAGGAUUAGAUACCUGGUAGUCACGCUGUAAACGAUGUCGAUUUGGAGGUUGUGCCCUUGAGGCGUGGCUUCCGGAGCUAACGCGUUAAAUCGACCGCCUGGGGAGUACGGCCGCAAGGUUAAAACUCAAAUGAAUUGACGGGGGCCCGCACAAGCGGUGGAGCAUGUGGUUUAAUUCGAUGCAACGCGAAGAACCUUACCUACUCUUGACAUCCAGAGAACUUUCCAGAGAUGGAUUGGUGCCUUCGGGAACUCUGAGACAGGUGCUGCAUGGCUGUCGUCAGCUCGUGUUGUGAAAUGUUGGGUUAAGUCCCGCAACGAGCGCAACCCUUAUCCUUUGUUGCCAGCGGUUCGGCCGGGAACUCAAAGGAGACUGCCAGUGAUAAACUGGAGGAAGGUGGGGAUGACGUCAAGUCAUCAUGGCCCUUACGAGUAGGGCUACACACGUGCUACAAUGGCGUAUACAAAGAGAAGCGACCUCGCGAGAGCAAGCGGACCUCAUAAAGUACGUCGUAGUCCGGAUUGGAGUCUGCAACUCGACUCCAUGAAGUCGGAAUCGCUAGUAAUCGUAGAUCAGAAUGCUACGGUGAAUACGUUCCCGGGCCUUGUACACACCGCCCGUCACACCAUGGGAGUGGGUUGCAAAAGAAGUAGGUAGCUUAACCUUCGGGAGGGCGCUUACCACUUUGUGAUUCAUGACUGGGGUGAAGUCGUAACAAGGUAACCA
This 784-nucleotide ribosomal RNA is filed under the name uncultured Serratia sp. RNAcentral describes it as "bacterial SSU rRNA". It matches the Rfam family "Bacterial small subunit ribosomal RNA", at positions 713 to 1502 of the family's 1533-position model. Lineage: Bacteria; Pseudomonadati; Pseudomonadota; Gammaproteobacteria; Enterobacterales; Yersiniaceae. The record is from RNAcentral.